RNAcentral lists this ribosomal RNA (140 nucleotides) under uncultured eukaryote. RNAcentral describes it as "partial 18S ribosomal RNA". It matches the Rfam family "Eukaryotic small subunit ribosomal RNA", at positions 1299 to 1458 of the family's 1831-position model. The record is from RNAcentral.
UGGUGGAGUGAUUUGUCGGGUUAAUUCCGGUAACGAACGAGACCUCCGCCUGCUAAAUAGUAUGCAUUUUGGUUUCAAAGUGUGAUACUUCUUAGAGGGACUAUGGGUGUUCAAACCCAUGGAAGUUGGAGGCAAUAACA